Molecule: ribosomal RNA, 279 nt
Filed under: Megamonas funiformis YIT 11815
Lineage: Bacteria; Bacillati; Bacillota; Negativicutes; Selenomonadales; Selenomonadaceae
Description: partial 16S ribosomal RNA
Rfam family: Bacterial small subunit ribosomal RNA
Source: RNAcentral
UUGUAUUUGUGCCAGCAGCCGCGGUAAUACGUAGGCGGCAAGCGUUGUCCGGAAUUAUUGGGCGUAAAGGGAGCGCAGGCGGGAAACUAAGCGGAUCUUAAAAGUGCGGGGCUCAACCCCGUGAUGGGGUCCGAACUGGUUUUCUUGAGUGCAGGAGAGGAAAGCGGAAUUCCCAGUGUAGCGGUGAAAUGCGUAGAUAUUGGGAAGAACACCAGUGGCGAAGGCGGCUUUCUGGACUGUAACUGACGCUGAGGCUCGAAAGCUAGGGUAGCGAACGGG